GACGAACGCUGGCGGCGUGCUUAACACAUGCAAGUCGAACGAUGAACCAGGGCUUGCCCUGGGAAUUAGUGGCGAACGGGUGAGUAACACGUGGGCAACCUGCCCCUGACACCGGGAUAACCAUUCGAAAGGAUGGCUAAUACCGGAUACGACCACUCCAGGCAUCUGGCGGUGGUGGAAAGGAUUCUGGUCAGGGACGGGCCCGCGGCCUAUCAGCUAGUUGGUGGGGUAACGGCCUACCAAGGCGACGACGGGUAACCGGCCUGAGAGGGCGACCGGUCACACUAGGACUGAGACACGGCCCAGACUCCUACGGGAGGCAGCUGUGGGGAAUAUUGCGCAAGGGGCGAAAGCCUGACGCAGCGACGCCGCGUGAGGGACGACGGUCUUCGGAUUGUAAACCUCUUUCAGCAGGGAUGAAGCCGCAAGGUGACAGUACCUGCAGACGAAGCACCGGCUAACUACGUGCCAGCAGCCGCGGUAA
This 484-nucleotide ribosomal RNA is filed under the name uncultured bacterium. Its description in RNAcentral is "partial 16S ribosomal RNA". It matches the Rfam family "Bacterial small subunit ribosomal RNA", at positions 28 to 523 of the family's 1533-position model. The record is from RNAcentral.